This 452-nucleotide long non-coding RNA is filed under the name Mytilus galloprovincialis (Mediterranean mussel). Lineage: Eukaryota; Metazoa; Mollusca; Bivalvia; Mytilida; Mytilidae. The record is from RNAcentral.
CAAAAGACUACAAGAUAUUCACCAAAGUAAGCCCAUUUUGGACAUUUUGUCAAAAUAUGAUGAUUUGGUGCAUUUUUCAGACCUAAAAGAUUUUGAAACAACUUGGCCGCCACCUACGAUCCAGAAUGUGUUGUAACCAAAAGAUUUCAAUUUUGAUAUAUAUUUCAUCAAUAUAAAAACUUUUUGGAUCGUAGAUGGAGGCCAAGGUUAUUUAUGCCAAAAACAAUUAAAAUUAUGGACAAAAAGUACCAAAAUUGACCUUUUAAUACAAAUUAUACUAAUUUAAGGGGUCAUUGCUCCAUAAAUAGUAAAGGAAAGUGCCAGAAAAAAUGUUAUUGUCUUAGUAGUAUUAUCACAGGUAUUUCUAUGUGACAUUUGUAAUUUUUUGGCCCAAUUCAAAAAACAUAAAAAAAUCAGGGCCAAUUUUAACCCUUCGUGAACCUUCUCCUUUG